Molecule: ribosomal RNA, 253 nt
Filed under: uncultured bacterium
Lineage: Bacteria
Description: partial 16S ribosomal RNA
Rfam family: Bacterial small subunit ribosomal RNA
Source: RNAcentral
GACGGAGGGUGCAAGCGUUGUUCGGAAUUACUGGGCGUAAAGGGCGCGUAGGCGGUCUGUUAAGUUCGGUGUGAAAGCCCCCGGCUCACCUGGGGAACUGCGCCGGAAACCGACAGACUCGAGUACCGGAGAGGAGGGUGGAAUACCUGGUGUAGCGGUGAAAUGCGUAGAUAUCAGGAGGAACACCGGUGGCGAAGGCGGCCCUCUGGACGGAUACUGACGCUAAGGCGCGAAAGCGUGGGGAUCAAACAGG